GACGAACGCUGGCGGCGCGCUUAACACAUGCAAGUCGAACGGAAAGGCCCUGCUUUUGUGGGGUGCUCGAGUGGCGAACGGGUGAGUAACACGUGAGUAACCUGCCCUUGCCUUUGGGAUAACUUCAGGAAACUGGGGCUAAUACCGGAUAGGAGCUCCUGCUGCAUGGUGGGGGUUGGAAAGUUUCGGCGGUUGGGGAUGGACUCGCGGCUUAUCAGCUUGUUGGUGGGGUAGUGGCUUACCAAGGCUUUGACGGGUAGCCGGCCUGAGAGGGUGACCGGCCACAGUGGGACUGAGAUACGGCCCAGACUCCUACGGGAGGCAGCAGUGGGGAAUAUUGCACAAUGGGCGGAAGCCUGAUGCAGCAACGCCGCGUGCGGGAUGACGGCCUUCGGGUUGUAAACCGCUUUCGCCUGUGACGAAGCGUGAGUGACGGUAAUGGGUAAAGAAGCACCGGCUAACUACGUG
Molecule: ribosomal RNA, 468 nt
Filed under: uncultured bacterium
Lineage: Bacteria
Description: partial 16S ribosomal RNA
Rfam family: Bacterial small subunit ribosomal RNA
Source: RNAcentral